AAGGAGGGAGAAGAAAGGAGGCCUCAAGCUAAGCAAGAGGGUGUUGAUGUUUUAGCCCAACAACAGAGUUUUGCCUUUUUGGGGCACUCCCGAACAACUGAUUUCCAGCUCACGUCAAGAUGCCAAGUCUGAAAGGCAAGUAUUUUGGGAGAGGGUAAUUUGUUCAACUGCAUUGAAUGUGCUGCUUUCGAAAUGAAAACCAGAUCACAAAAUAUUUGAUACAAUGCAAGGGCUACAUAGAGGGGUGCUGUAAUGCUCUGGGAGAACACUACAAGGCAUGGUGCUGUGGAGGUGCCAUGGCUUUUGCACCUGAUUCCCCCUGCUUUUUGCCUUGCACAGCAGACAGCAGGAUAUCAAACACACACACACACACACACACACACACACAGACAUCCGCACAUUAUAGGGCAACCAAUCCUAACUCUCUGACAAAUACAUCCAUAUGAGAGGUAUGUAUGCGACAUGUUUGUUACAUUUACAUCUCAGGCGUGAACCUACAAAACAACGGGCAUGAUCCAACCAAACUGAAGCAGUAAUACUGAGUUCAAUGGAAGAACUAGCCACCUGCUUCAGUCUCUCCCAUUGAAGUCAAAACACUUGGAGCUGCUUUCCUUUCGGUGGAUUGUGUGUGAAGCAAGCAAAACUAAGAGUAAUAUUUGGUGCACACAAUCAUCUGGAACAGCCUUCCCCAACCAGGUACCCUCCAGAUAUUUUGGACUCCAACUUCUGUCAUAGAAUUGUAGAGCUGGAAGGGAUCAUCCUCAAUCCUAGGCUGUGCUAGCUGGGGUAGAUGGGACUUUUAGUUGAGAACGUUAGGAGGACAUCAGGUUUGGGAAGGCUGUUCCGGGCAAACACCAUAGCCAUGCUAGGUCAUCUUGCAGGUGGGACUACAGAUGUGAUUAUUAACUAGAUCAAAGAUAAAUUAUAAUCAUAUAAUUGUACAUAAAGACACAGCGCUCCUUUUGAGUUACUGUACUAAAGAAAGGUACUGUGAUGAAACAGUGACACUUUCUGAAACACAUUUACAGUAUUAUCCUACUUGAUUGACAUCAAUGGAGAUUGCUAACCAUAAAAUAAAAUGUUAUAUUGUUUUCAGGAUUCUGCAUUCCACAAGAGACAGGAAAAACAACAACAUGGCAGAAUUCAUCCAUUGACUUUUAGGUUCUAUUAGCAAUACCAGACUAGUUAUUGCGGUAUGUGGUUUGGCCUGACAAUGCCAACACAGUAUCUAGUUUGGUUUCAAUAAUGCCCACAGUGUGCCACUGAUACUGCAAAUGGCUGUGUCCUUCCCACUCAUGUCAGUUGAACUUGCCUUGUGUUGCGAUGUCACAGUGUUCCACAUUCCUGGCUCCUACUCGGCAUCAUUAACUGCCAAUGGCAGUAAAAUGUGGAAUGUUAUAACAUCACAAUAUGAUGGAAGUUCUACUAGGUAGUGCAGAGGAGGAGGGAUUAGUUGCAAUGGUGGCAUUCUUGAGUUGUAGCCAUGCAUUUACCCAGAAUGUCUAAUUUGGUCCACGGUACAUACAAUUAUUUUAAUUCUUACAAAUCUAAUUUUCCAUGAGGUCCCGUCUCCUCCUGUCUUAUGCCAUGCUAUACUUAUUUUUUUAAAAAAAGUGUGUGAACAGAUAUUUAACCUGCUGACUGUAAGAAUAAAAUGUGUCUAAAUUCCUCAUAUUCUGAAAACAGGAAUUAUUUCUCUCUCACCCCACAGCAAAACAUGAAAAAUAAAAAUAUGGCAAAAAUUACACAAGACCUUCCCCCAUUCUCUUUGAAACUUAAGCCUGGGAGACUGUGUCACGUGUUAGUGUUUUCCCCCUUUCUCUUAUUGUAUGCAGGUGAUGAGUACAAAUCUUUGAGUUGAAGUAGAUGAAUGGAGCAAUACAAAGUCUCAUAAUUGCUUUAGGGGAGGGCGGAAGGGAACAGGAAAUGUAUUAAAAUACUCACUUUGACGAAUCUAUGAAGUAUAUUACAAGAGCACCAAUACUAAGAGCGAAGACUAAGACAACCUGCAAAAGUGAAGAAGAAGAAAAUGCAAUCACUUUACGGGCUACAGCUGAGGCAUUCAUUAUUCAAACAAACAGGAAUGAGAAAACAGUGCAAAAAAUUUCAUGGUUCCAUUUUAAUUGCCUUAUGCUUUACCAGAAAUAUGAAUCAUGCUUGCAGCGCUUGACAAAACUAGGGACAAUGCUGGAAAUGUAUACAACCAGAGCUUGCCAAAGAUAUCUGUGGGCCUGAGGAAGAAAAUCCAGGUGGCAUCCACUGGUGGUAAUAUAGUAAUAAACACGAUAAUGGACAAUUUACUGUCCUUUAAUGGUGUCCUAACAUCUGCAACCUAAGGCAGUCUACCACGCCCUAAUAUGAAUCAUACAGACAUCCCUUAUGUAGAUGUUCAUGUGCUUUGGGGAUUUGUUCAAGGCCGUAUUUUCUCAGGAAGUGAAGCCUUUUAGUCCCUGGGGUAUGGCGCUCUCAGAAAUAUGACCACAACUGCAGAACACACUUUUCACUAAGACCUGUCAAAGCACCUCGCUGCUCUGUUUAAUCCACCUUGGGAAAACCUCUUUGUUGACAAGAGGACGUUUAAACAUUUUGAAAGAGGAUUCCCAAGUAGGGCUUGUAUGCUAUUUUGUGGCCUAUUGGAUUAUGGGCAGAACACAACAGGGUAUGACAGGUUGCGGGUGGAACCUUGAGGGGGA
RNAcentral lists this long non-coding RNA (2693 nucleotides) under Podarcis lilfordi (Lilford's wall lizard). Lineage: Eukaryota; Metazoa; Chordata; Lepidosauria; Squamata; Lacertidae. The record is from RNAcentral.